ACCGCAACGUCGCACACCCGUACGGCCGGCCCCCCCCCCGACCCCGUCCUCUCCCCCAACCACCGGGGCCCCUACCCGUGCCCGCGUUCCCAGGCGCCCACCCCCACCCCCCGCCUGCCACCACCACCACCACCACCACCGAGGGCAGAGAGAGGGCUCCGACGGGAAGCGUGGCGCCAAUCGGGUAGGGGACACGACAGAGGCAUAUUCAAGAUCUUCUUAUCCUCUUCUUUCCCUUGAAAAUGCAACUCUGCUGCUGAUAGAUUGCCCUUGCUCCAAAUAUUCAAAAAAUUCAGGGAUAUCGAGAUUCCACAUUGCACAUCCAGUUCUUUUAGCUUUUAAGGUUCUUGCUGAAUUCUUCAUUCUACAGUAG
Molecule: long non-coding RNA, 373 nt
Filed under: Capra hircus (goat)
Lineage: Eukaryota; Metazoa; Chordata; Mammalia; Artiodactyla; Bovidae
Description: lncRNA (ENSCHIG00000005724.1)
Source: RNAcentral